GAGAGAGUUAACUUAACUUGGUAGCUAUAUUCUCUAGGGUCGCUUAACUGUGGCUGUGGGGGAUGGACGCUACCUGUUGUUGCACUGACUGCGUUGAUCGUGCUUUCCGAACAGUGUAGCGUUGCCCACUUUGUGGUGUCUUGCUCGCUGGGAGGUUUGUCAUGGUUAACGUAUAGCCUUAGUCCCGAGGGAGUCAGUGUGAAAGUUAACCACCUUUCCGACCCGUCUUGAAACACGGACCGAGGAGUGUUGGUUAUACGCGAGUCAAGGAGUGGUGAAAACUCUAGGGGCGGAAUGAAAGUAAAGACUAGUUAACUAGUUGACAUGGGAUCCGCUCUUCGGAGCGGCGCACCAUGGCCCUGUCUUGUCUGCUUGCAGAUGGGCAGCGGUAGAGCGUAUAGCUUGCGACCCGAAAGAUGGUGAACUAUGCUUGAGCAGGACGAAGCCAGAGGAAACUCUGGUGGAAGUCCGUAUCGGUUCUGACGUGCAAAUCGAUCGAUAGACUUGAGUAUAGGGGCGAAAGACUAAUCGAACUAUCUAGUAGU
RNAcentral lists this ribosomal RNA (545 nucleotides) under Heterorhabditis zealandica. RNAcentral's name for it is "partial large subunit ribosomal RNA". It matches the Rfam family "Eukaryotic large subunit ribosomal RNA", at positions 422 to 951 of the family's 3401-position model. Lineage: Eukaryota; Metazoa; Nematoda; Chromadorea; Rhabditida; Heterorhabditidae. The record is from RNAcentral.